CACUAGGCCCUUUUCAGGGCCACCAUACCUCAAGCUGAUCACGGAG
Operophtera brumata (winter moth) is the source of this 46-nucleotide non-coding RNA. Lineage: Eukaryota; Metazoa; Arthropoda; Insecta; Lepidoptera; Geometridae. The record is from Rfam.